This 297-nucleotide ribosomal RNA is filed under the name uncultured bacterium. Its description in RNAcentral is "partial 16S ribosomal RNA". It matches the Rfam family "Bacterial small subunit ribosomal RNA", at positions 28 to 334 of the family's 1533-position model. The record is from RNAcentral.
GAUGAACGCUGACAGAAUGCUUAACACAUGCAAGUCGACUCGAGUCUUCGGACUUGGGUGGCGCACGGGUGAGUAACGCGUAAAGAACUUGCCUCUUAGACCGGGACAACAUCUGGAAACGGAUGCUAAUACCGGAUAUUAUGGUUUUUUCGCAUGGAGGAAUCAUGAAAGCUAGAUGCGCUAAGAGAGAGCUUUGCGUCCCAUUAGCUAGUUGGUGAGGUAACGGCCCACCAAGGCAAUGAUGGGUAGCCGGCCUGAGAGGGUGAACGGCCACAUUGGGACUGAGACACGGCCCAG